Molecule: long non-coding RNA, 392 nt
Filed under: Mytilus galloprovincialis (Mediterranean mussel)
Lineage: Eukaryota; Metazoa; Mollusca; Bivalvia; Mytilida; Mytilidae
Source: RNAcentral
GGGAUUUUUAACACUUCGGACAAGAACUAAAAAAGGCUUUCACUAAUGUCAAUGAAACUUUGAUGAAUUGUUUAUAUCUAUUGAUGUAAGAUCCCUUUCAAUUUUUUUUUAUAAAUUUCAGAUUUUAAGUUUUGGAUUUAUGGGGCUUUAUUCAUAAAAAAGGGGGAUUUUAACACUUCGGACAACAACUCAAAAAGGCUUUCACCAAUGUCCUUGAAACUUUGGUGAAUUGUUUAUAUCUAUUGAUGUAAGCUCUCUUUCAAUUUUUAUCAAUUUCAGAUUUUACAUUUCCGUGUUACGAACUUUUAUGCUUAAAAAAGAGGGGAUUUUCCAAUAAAAGACAAGUUAAAAGAGCAACGGGUGUAGCAUGCGCUAAAGCGCAGCACUUUAUU